Molecule: ribosomal RNA, 253 nt
Filed under: uncultured bacterium
Lineage: Bacteria
Description: partial 16S ribosomal RNA
Rfam family: Bacterial small subunit ribosomal RNA
Source: RNAcentral
UACAGAGGGGGCAAGCGUUGUUCGGAAUUACUGGGCGUAAAGGGCGCGUAGGCGGCCCACUAAGUCGAACGUGAAAUCCCCGGGCUCAACCCGGGAACUGCGUCCGAUACUGGUGGGCUUGAAUCCGGGAGAGGGAUGCGGAAUUCCAGGUGUAGCGGUGAAAUGCGUAGAUAUCUGGAGGAACACCGGUGGCGAAGGCGGCAUCCUGGACCGGCAUUGACGCUGAGGCGCGAAAGCCAGGGGAGCAAACGGG